UGGGGAAUCUUCCGCAAUGGACGAAAGUCUGACGGAGCAACGCCGCGUGAGUGAAGAAGGUUUUCGGAUCGUAAAACUCUGUCUUUUGGGGCGAACGUGAGUAUGGUGAACAAUCAUAGUCAGUGACGGUACCAAAGGAGGAAGCCACGGCUAACUACGUGCCAGCAGCCGCGGUAAUACGUAGGUGGCAAGCGUUGUCCGGAAUUAUUGGGCGUAAAGAGCGCGUAGGCGGGAUAGUCAGUCUGUUGUAAAAGUGCGGGGCUCAACCCCGUGAUGGCAAUGGAAACAGCUAUUCUUGAGUGCAGGAGAGGAAAGUGGAAUUCCCAGUGUAGCGGUGAAAUGCGUAGAUAUUGGGAGGAACACCAGUGGCGAAGGCGACUUUCUGGACUGUGUCUGACGCUGAGGCGCGAAAGCCAGGGGAGCGAACGGGAUUAGAUACCCCCGGUAGUCCUGGCCGUAAACGAUGGGUACUAGGUGUGGGAGGUAUCGACCCCCUUCCGUGCCGGAGUUAACGCAAUAAGUACCCCGCCUGGGGAGUACGGUCGCAAGACUGAAACUCAAAGGAAUUGACGGGGUCAUAGCUGUUUCCUG
This 591-nucleotide ribosomal RNA is filed under the name uncultured bacterium. RNAcentral's name for it is "partial 16S ribosomal RNA". It matches the Rfam family "Bacterial small subunit ribosomal RNA", at positions 355 to 1376 of the family's 1533-position model. The record is from RNAcentral.